CCUGGUAUCGUCUAGUGGUUAGGACACCAGGUUUUGACAUCUGGCGGGUCCUGGUAACCUGGGUUCGACUCCCAGUACCAGGU
This 83-nucleotide transfer RNA is filed under the name Melampsora larici-populina 98AG31. Its description in RNAcentral is "tRNA-Gln for anticodon UUG". It matches the Rfam family "tRNA". Rfam says of the family: Transfer RNA (tRNA) molecules are approximately 80 nucleotides in length. Their secondary structure includes four short double-helical elements and three loops (D, anti-codon, and T loops). Lineage: Eukaryota; Fungi; Basidiomycota; Pucciniomycetes; Pucciniales; Melampsoraceae. The record is from Rfam by way of RNAcentral.